CUUGCUUUGAGCAGUUUCAUGGGCGCUUUCGUAAUUGGUAUUUGGUGUUCCUCUUAUUCAGAGACCUGUGACAACUUUGCUUGGUGCACUGUUCCAAAGGCUCUGCAGUAAAUGUUUCAAAGAGGUAUGUCGAUAUUAAGAGUGGCUGUCCUAAAUGGGAAAAAGAAGAAAUUCCUCUCACAAAACAAUUCAACUGCACCAC
Long non-coding RNA from Sphaeramia orbicularis (orbiculate cardinalfish), 202 nucleotides. RefSeq lists it as uncharacterized. The record is from RefSeq and is a predicted model, not a curated record. Lineage: Eukaryota; Metazoa; Chordata; Actinopteri; Kurtiformes; Apogonidae. The transcript has 3 exons.